UACAGAGGUCCCAAGCGUUGUUCGGAAUCAUUGGGCGUAAAGAGCGUGUAGGCGGCCAGAUAAGUCCGCUGUGAAAUCUCGAGGCUCAACUUCGAGCUGUCGGUGGAAACUGUCUGGCUAGAGUCCGGAAGAGGAGAAUGGAAUUCCUGGUGUAGCGGUGAAAUGCGCAGAUAUCAGGAGGAACACCCGUGGCGAAAGCGGCUCUCUGGGACGGUACUGACGCUGAGACGCGAAAGCGUGGGGAGCAAACAGG
RNAcentral lists this ribosomal RNA (253 nucleotides) under uncultured bacterium. RNAcentral's name for it is "partial 16S ribosomal RNA". It matches the Rfam family "Bacterial small subunit ribosomal RNA", at positions 524 to 776 of the family's 1533-position model. The record is from RNAcentral.